Molecule: long non-coding RNA, 743 nt
Filed under: Rattus norvegicus (Norway rat)
Lineage: Eukaryota; Metazoa; Chordata; Mammalia; Rodentia; Muridae
Description: long non-coding RNA NONRATT015493
Source: RNAcentral
CAGCUGUAGUGCUCAUCGCCCAUACUGCUGUGCCUCAUAGCUCCCAUACUGCUGUGCCUCAUAGCUCCCAUACUGCUGUGCCUCAUAGCUCCCACUUUGAUGUGGGCCUUGGGGGAGAGUGCUAACGCCAGCCGUACCCUACAACACAAUUAUGCAGCUGAAUUUCCUUACAUUUGGGGAAGUUGCAGGGGUCAGCACAGAAUGAGCCUCAUCCUGGAAAACCACCUCCCUGAUAAUGGUUUCUCCCCUGCCAGUGAGGAUGACCCGGCCCCUGGAGCAGGCAGUAGCUGCCAUCGUGUGUACCUUCCAGGAGUAUGCAGGGCGCUGUGGUGACAAAUACAAGAUCUGCCAGUCGGAGCUCAAGGAGCUGUUGCAACUGCCACGAGUACUUCAAAGAGUGCCCCCCUGAGCCCCCUUGUCCCCAGUAGCCUCUGGUCCAAAGGCGUAUGCUAUCCCAGAAGGGCCAGGUCUGCUUUAGUGCUCCAUUUUUAUCCCUGAGUUGGUCCUACUCUCUCAGUGUUACCCCUUUCGAUCUAGGCUUGUCAGUCCCUGAGAUGCUAACCCCAGCUACCCACAAGCUUUAGAGGCUUGUCUAGCUGGUGAGGGGUGGAAUAGUCUUUGCUGCUUCUCUUCUUGGAAGGGAAGAACAUCUCUGCUCUUACCUGGAAGCUCAGGCAUGUGCACACAGUUGGGACUGCUGUGGCAGGGGCCUCCUCAACUCCCAAUAAAGAAAUGUCAUCUUG